UCCCUGAUGGUCCAGUGGCUAAGACUCUGUGCCCCCAAUACAGGGGGCCUGGGUUCAAUCCCUGCUCAGGGAA
RNAcentral lists this transfer RNA (73 nucleotides) under Bos taurus (domestic cattle). It matches the Rfam family "tRNA". Rfam says of the family: Transfer RNA (tRNA) molecules are approximately 80 nucleotides in length. Their secondary structure includes four short double-helical elements and three loops (D, anti-codon, and T loops). Further hydrogen bonds mediate the characteristic L-shaped molecular structure. tRNAs have two regions of fundamental functional importance: the anti-codon, which is responsible for specific mRNA codon recognition, and the 3' end, to which the tRNAs corresponding amino acid is attached (by aminoacyl-tRNA synthetases). tRNAs cope with the degeneracy of the genetic code in two manners: having more than one tRNA (with a specific anti-codon) for a particular amino acid; and 'wobble' base-pairing, i.e. permitting non-standard base-pairing at the 3rd anti-codon position. The record is from Rfam by way of RNAcentral. Lineage: Eukaryota; Metazoa; Chordata; Mammalia; Artiodactyla; Bovidae. RNAcentral also lists the same sequence under 5 other names.